RNAcentral lists this transfer RNA (65 nucleotides) under Cavia porcellus (domestic guinea pig). It matches the Rfam family "tRNA". From Rfam's summary of the family: Transfer RNA (tRNA) molecules are approximately 80 nucleotides in length. Their secondary structure includes four short double-helical elements and three loops (D, anti-codon, and T loops). The record is from Rfam by way of RNAcentral. Lineage: Eukaryota; Metazoa; Chordata; Mammalia; Rodentia; Caviidae.
GUUAUAGUUCAUUGGCAUAGCACCUGCCUGGCAAGCACAAGGUCCUGAGUUCAAUUCCCAGUAAC